GAUGUUGGGUUAAGUCCCGCAACGAGCGCAAUCCUUAUCCUUAGUUGCCAGCACGUCUGGGUGGGCACUCUAAGGAAACUGCCGGUGCUAAGCCGGAGGAAGGUGGGGAUGACGUCAAGUCCUCAUGGCCCUUACACCCUGGGCUACACACGUGCUACAAUGGCAGUGACAAUGGGCUAAUCCCAAAAAGCUGUCUCAGUUCGGAUUGGGGUCUGCAACUCGACCCCAUGAAGUCGGAAUCGCUAGUAAUCGCGUAACAGCAUGACGCGGUGAAUACGUUCCCGGGCCUUGUACACACCGCCCGUCA
Molecule: ribosomal RNA, 307 nt
Filed under: Pseudo-nitzschia fraudulenta
Lineage: Eukaryota; Bacillariophyta; Bacillariophyceae; Bacillariales; Bacillariaceae
Description: partial Bacterial small subunit ribosomal RNA
Rfam family: Bacterial small subunit ribosomal RNA
Source: RNAcentral